AUGACAGGUGAAUCUGAUGCUGAACUGCGCUCUUUAUACAACACUUUACCUCUGCAUCAAUUCAGAGCAGCAAGUGGUGCCCAAGAGAAAAACAGGGAUCGUCAAACCCGAGAACACAUAACUUCCUCUUCAGUGUCUAAAAAGACUUGGUUAGACCAGAUUCUGGCUGCCAACCUGGAUGCAGAUGACCCUCUAAUAGAUGAGGAAGACGAAGAUUUUGAAGAAGAAAGUGAUGAUGAUGAUACUGCAGCUCGUCUCGUAGAACUGGAAAAAAUUAAAAAAGAAAGAGCUGAAGAGCAGGCUAGAAAGGAACAAGAACAAAAAGCUGAAGAAGAGAGAAUUCGUAUGGAAAACAUUCUGAGCGGAAACCCUCUGCUUAAUCUCACUGGUUCAUUCCAGCCUCAAGCCAACUUCAAAGUUAAAAGAAGGCGGGAUGAUGAUGUCAUCUUCAAAAAUUGUGCAAAAGGUGUAGAUGAUCAGAAGAAAGACAAAAGAUUUGUUAAUGACACACUGCUAUAUGAAUUUCACAAAGAAUUCAUGGAGAAAUAUAUUAAGUAGUACGAUUUUGUGGGCUUAAAGACUGUAAAACAUAAGGGAUCA
RNA transcript from Carlito syrichta (Philippine tarsier), 600 nucleotides. It is a transcript of the gene named spliceosome-associated protein CWC15 homolog pseudogene, with no coding region annotated. The record is from RefSeq and is a predicted model, not a curated record. NCBI's taxonomy places the organism in Eukaryota, Metazoa, Chordata, Mammalia, Primates, Tarsiidae. The transcript is spliced from 2 exons.